ACGCUCAUGUUUCGCUUCAGAUCGUAUAAAUCUUUCGCCUUUUACUUAAUAUUUCCAUGGGGAGGAACACCACGAGUAUAAUUUUUUUAACGCCCUGCUGAAUGGCGGGGCU
Molecule: small nuclear RNA, 112 nt
Organism: Triplophysa rosa
Lineage: Eukaryota; Metazoa; Chordata; Actinopteri; Cypriniformes; Nemacheilidae
Product: U5 spliceosomal RNA
Exons: 1
Source: RefSeq, a predicted model, not a curated record